UACGUAGGUGUCGAGCGUUAUCCGGAAUUACUGGGCGUAAAGGGCGCGCAGGCGGUCUGGGCAGUCCGACGUGAAAGCUCCCGGCUUAACUGGGAGAGGUCGUUGGAAACUUUCAGGCUUGAGGCAGUGAGAGGGAGGCGGAAUUCCCGGUGUAGUGGUGGAAUGCGUAGAUAUCGGGAAGAACACCAGUGGCGAAAGCGGCCUCCUGGCACUGACCUGACGCUGAGGUGCGAAAGCGUGGGGAGCGAACGGG
Molecule: unclassified non-coding RNA, 253 nt
Filed under: uncultured Caldilineaceae bacterium
Lineage: Bacteria; Bacillati; Chloroflexota; Caldilineae; Caldilineales; Caldilineaceae
Description: contains 16S-23S intergenic spacer region
Rfam family: Bacterial small subunit ribosomal RNA
Source: RNAcentral